GGCGAACGCUGGCGGCGUGCUUAACACAUGCAAGUCGAGCGGGAUCCAACCGGUGGCAACACCGGGGAAGAUCUAGCGGCGAACGGGUGAGUAACACGUGAGCAACCUGCCCCGAAGACUGGGAUAACACCGGGAAACCGGUGCUAAUACCGGAUGUCGUCAUUAGGCCGCAUGACCUGAUGAUGAAAGGAUUCAUCGCUUCGGGAGGGGCUCGCGGGCUAUCAGCUUGNGGUGGGGUAACGGCCUACCAAGGCGACGACGGCUAGCUGGUCUGAGAGGACGACCAGCCACACUGGGACUGAGACACGGCCCAGACUCCUACGGGAGGCAGCAGUGGGGAAUCUUGCGCAAUGGGCGAAAGCCUGACGCAGCAACGCCGC
Molecule: ribosomal RNA, 380 nt
Filed under: uncultured bacterium
Lineage: Bacteria
Description: bacterial SSU rRNA
Rfam family: Bacterial small subunit ribosomal RNA
Source: RNAcentral